CUGAAGUCGUCAAGAGACUAACAGAUCUGUGUAAGGGGUACAGCAGAAUUGAUCUGAUCCUCAUAGCAUCUUCUUUUCUCUCGUUGCAGAUAUUACCAUCACAUGUCCAGGGUUCUUCUGAGGACAACCUGAGUUUAGUAUGCCCACCACCAAAUGAAGAUGAUGAUGGUAAUCAUGAUGUUGAUGAUGCCCAGAUUUCACCAUCAUCUGUCCUGGGUAUGUACCUUGAACUAACUCACUUUCUGAGAAACAAACUUGCUGGCUUUAAUAUAUAGAAACCUUAAUCUGGGUUCCUGUUAAACAUAUUGGGGGUGUGGUGAGAGCAAAUGAUUUUGCAAGUGUAUAGCUAUGAGCAGAGGGGCUGUAGAAA
Molecule: long non-coding RNA, 370 nt
Organism: Cercocebus atys (sooty mangabey)
Lineage: Eukaryota; Metazoa; Chordata; Mammalia; Primates; Cercopithecidae
Exons: 3
Source: RefSeq, a predicted model, not a curated record